RNAcentral lists this ribosomal RNA (471 nucleotides) under uncultured bacterium. RNAcentral's name for it is "SSU rRNA". It matches the Rfam family "Bacterial small subunit ribosomal RNA", at positions 26 to 518 of the family's 1533-position model. The record is from RNAcentral.
AGGAUAAACGCUGGCGGCGUGCCUAACACAUGCAAGUCGAACGUCUCUUUCUUCGGGAAGAGGAGUGGCGGACGGGUGAGGAACACGUGGGAACCUGCCCUUCAGUGAGGAAUACCGGCGAGAAAUCGCCGACAAGACCGCAUAGCCCUCUCUGGUGAGAGCCAGAGAAGGAAAGCCUCGCAAGAGGCGCUGGAGGAGGGGCCUGCGUCCGAUUAGCUAGUUGGUGGGGUAAGAGCCUACCAAGGCGUCGAUCGGUAGCUGGUCUGAGAGGACGAUCAGCCACACUGGGAUUGAGAACGGCCCAGACUCCUACGGGGGGCAGCAGUGAGGAAUUUUCGGCAAUGGGGGAAACCCUGACCGAGCAACGCCGCGUGCAGGAAGACGGCCUUCGGGUUGUAAACUGCUUUUCUUUGGUACGAGCAAGGACGGUACCAGAGGAAUCAGCCCGGCUCACUACGUGCCAGCAGCCGC